GACGAACGCUGGCGGCGUGCUUAAUACAUGCAAGUAGAACGCUGAAGGAGGAGCUUGCUUCGCUGGAUGAGUUGCGAACGGGUGAGUAACGCGUAGGUAACCUGCCUGGUAGCGGGGGAUAACUAUUGGAAACGAUAGCUAAUACCGCAUAAGAGUAGAUGUUGCAUGACAUUUGCUUAAAAGGUGCAAUGGCAUCACUACCAGAUGGACCUGCGUUGUAUUGGCUAGUUGGUGGGGUAACGGCUCACCAAGGCGACGAUACAUACCCGACCUGCGAUGGGGGGCGGCCGCACUGGGACUGUGACACGGCCCAGACUCCUACGGGAGGCAGCAGUAGUGAAUCGGCGGCAAUGGACGGAAGUCUGACCGAGCAACGCGGCGUGAGUGAAGAAGGUUUUCGGAUCGUAAAGCUCUGUCGUAAGAGUAGAACGAGUGUGAGAGUGGAAAGUUCACACUGUGACGGUAUCUUACCAGAAAGGGACGGCUAACUACGUG
This 495-nucleotide ribosomal RNA is filed under the name uncultured bacterium. RNAcentral's name for it is "partial 16S ribosomal RNA". It matches the Rfam family "Bacterial small subunit ribosomal RNA", at positions 28 to 507 of the family's 1533-position model. The record is from RNAcentral.